This is a non-coding RNA of Pantherophis guttatus, 3813 nucleotides long. The record is from RefSeq and is a predicted model, not a curated record. Lineage: Eukaryota; Metazoa; Chordata; Lepidosauria; Squamata; Colubridae.
AACUAAACACAUUUAAAAGGGGCUCUCUCUCUCUCUCUCUCCCUCCCUCUCUCUCUCUCUCUCUCUCUCACACACACACACACACACACACACACACACAAUCCCUUUCUCGGGAACCAGUUUCCCAUUUUCUCACAGCCCUUUGUCAAGGCUCUAUGGAGGCGAGGGUGGAUGGCAGGAGAGAGGGCUCUUAAUGUGCUGGGGAAGAGAUGCCGGUGCUGUUUUAAGAAAAAAAGGGUGGGGGGGACACGGUUGAAUGAAGAACCCCGGACCGCCUGUAUUCCACGGUCAGAAGGCCUCCUUCCCGCCGCUCCAGAGAAACCCUCUUCGAUUUACCAGGCGGAAGGAGCCUUCAUCGGGCUAGCACGGCUCAGAGAGCCUAUGCUAAAAAGAAAAGUGAUGCAUGAUUGCACUCGUUUUAACGUCCGGCCGUGCGUUUUCGUCAGAGAGGUGGCGGCGCAGAGGGAGAACGAGGAACCCCUGACGUAAAGGUUCUCCAAGUCUCCAAAGAUGUGGCCCGUCGCAAGCCGAGAGCAAAAAGCACAAGACCCUCCUCCAGCAUGGCCCGACAGGAUCCCCCCUCCCCCACUAUUUCUCGAGGCAACUCCAUUCUCGAAGGCCUCUUAGACCCAAGGUAGGCAGGAAAGAGGAAAACGCAGCCCGGACGUCUACAACCGCCGCCUCAGGGCUCUCAGUCUCCCAAUGGAAGGUAGAUACCUUGAGAUCGUCCCGUGUAAACCAAGCACAGCCAACUUAAGUUUUGUGGCGAAGUGGGAAAAGACAUGGGAGUCGGAGUAUAAGAGGACGCUUCACUUGCCUCCCGUUCCUUGGGCUAUGAAUGUGGGAAGGCCGAGCCAUUUCUUUAGGAAACUUUUCCAAGGGCUUUUGGAGAGUGUAUUUAACAAAGUCCUGUGUUUUGGUUUAUUUUUUUCAUGCCUUGGGGAGGAUCCAGACAUCUUGAGACAAUUAUAUUAAUUCAAUUCUCCAAUGAAGAAAGGGGGCUAAUAAUCCACACACACACACACACACAAUGAAACGGAGAAGUUUGCAAAGGCGUGGCCUUAACACGGAUGAGUCUGAACAAAACAUAGAAAGAAUCCUUCAGAAACAAAAAACAAUACCAAGGCUCCAGUCAAGGAAAAACUUUGAUUUUUUUUUUUUUAAAGAACUCUUAUGAGCAAUGAUAAUGUCUUGGGCAUCUUCACAUUUUAAUAAUGAAAAGUACAACUCUACAUUAUAAUUUACACUUCUCAAGCAGUGGUGGUUUCGGUUUUUCUUUUUGUCUGUCUUUUCCCCGAGUGCUUGAAGGAGUAUUCCUGAUUUCAGCCCCGAUGUUUAUUUAUGGUCAGGAUGAUCCGAGUGGCGACUGGUGAGGCACCCUACCAGUGAGAGGACUUCCUUGCAGGUGAGGGGGAGAGAAAGACUGGUUCAGAGUCCUAGUCUGCCAAGGGUUUCCACUGGGAUCUAGGAACGAAUUAUCUUGAAAAGCCAACAUUCCAUUCUAUUUGUGAAACCUAUUUCCAAAAUUUGAUAGAGUGCCUUGGUAGAAUGCCUGUAGUAAGUGGACGGGGGAUACUUUUAAAAAGUUCCUUUAGCAGCAUUUUUCAAAGGUAGUUCUCCUCCCCUCCCCCUUUUGACAGGUGGACAUACUUAAGACAUUAUAAAGGCUGUUCUUCUGCAGCUCCAAAUUAACUGCCUCCUUUUUCCUCCCGCAAAAAGCAGCGGACUCUCUUCAGUAAUUUCUGGGCAGGUUUACUAUGAUUGUCCCAAGAGGGUUGGCUUACUUGUUGGUUUAAUUAAUUUACACAUCUCUUACUAUCUCCAACUAACUAACUCCAGACUGUGCUGUUUGGGGGGGCAGGUUCUGUAUGAAACUAUUGUUUAGGUGUGCUCCGUUGCCGGCGAGUCUACAAAAUGUACCAUUUUAAAAAUAAGGUGCAUCUGGACUUCAAUUUUGUAAACACCAACUGGGAAAUAAACCCCAUUAAACUCAGUGGAAUGUACUUCUGAGUUGCCAAGCAUUGGAUUAUGUUAAGUCUCUGAAGUAUUUUAGAAAGAAUAUAGAGAGUUUGUGAAUAACUCUGGUGGCCGAUCCGGAGUUGGUGGAGUGGAAAAAAAUGACAUUUCAACCUUGCCUUUUUACCUAGAAAUAAAUUAGAAAUGAAAGGAGGCAGAUCUCACUUCAGGCUGGUCUACACAGGUAGACCAUUUUCUCAAUUUUUAGUACUGUAGUUUGCUUUUUACAAACAUGGAUCAGGGGAGAGACUUAUAGGAAACUUUCCUUAUCUGUCCUUUACAACAUAUCAGAGUUAACUAAAUAUUCAAGUUCCAGAAGAGGGCUCAGUUUGUUGCGUUCUUGGCAAUUAAUCACUAACUGCAAUUAAGUACUUUAUCUCAUUCUUCGAACACAUCCUUCAUUUCUAUAAUCGGAUCAGAGUCAUUGCAAUUAAAGCAAGGAAGAGUUAGGCUGUUGCUUUCCAAAUGAAAUCCUUCUUUUUAUCAUCUUCCUCCUCCUUUUCCUCUACAAAAAGUUCCCAAUUUACUGCUUAUUGGACAUACUAAACACAUUUACACCUUAACAGUGCAAUCUGGGUAUAACCAGCAGGAAGUAGAAUCUUUCCAUUCCUUGGGGUCUCCUCAUCAGGACGGCUGUUUUUUCCUUGACAAAACUUUUAGAAAGGGUGGGUCUUACUUUUGAGUAAAACUUGGGGCUGUCCUGUCGUUUUAUGUUUCAGAUUUCUCCCUUUCUCUCACUCAAGGUCUUUCUAUUUUUCUUCUGUUUGUGUGCACGCAUGCGUGAAUGGAAAGGGGUGCAAAAUGAAGGAAUCUCUCAGGAGUCAACGUGGCUGUCUUUUUCUUUUCUUUUCUUUUCUUUUCUUUUCUUUUCUUUUCUUUUCUUUUCUUUUCCUUCCUUCCUUUCUUUCUUAUUUAUUAUAUUACAUUGACAUAAUCAUAAGCGGAGCUUCACGUUCCUCUUUUUCCAAAGUUACAAGCCUGCCUUGGUGUGCAUUUUUAAGUUAAUUAACCUGCUAAAAUUGAUUUCUGUUAUCAGCCAACAGCUCCCUAUCUUAGCCAGAUCAGCCCCUUUAAAUGAGAUAGUGCUGAACAAUUUAUGAAAUGAAAAACUGCUUAAGACAAGGCAAAUAAAUAAAGGGGGUCUUAUGGCUCAGGAAUAAACUGCUGUGAGGAAAGAAAGAAAGAAAGAAAGAAAGAAAGAAAGAAAGAAAGAAAGAAAGAAAGACUUAACUUCUUAAGAAGUUUUAAAAUUAAUGUUUCUCUCAGAGAAUGAAAUUUGCAGAUUCUUCAUUCAGUUUUCUUCACUUAAUUUUUCUGAUUCCUUUUAAGAUGUGCUAACAGAAAUGAAACUGUAAAAUCCAACUGUUAAUUAAAACUAUAUUUCAUUGAAAUGAACAUUGUAAAUAAACUUACAUAAUCUGGAAAAAGAUCAAAGUCAACUUUUAAUUAUUUUUGUCUCAUUUACUCAGAAAUCACUUUUAAAAUUAACUGGCACAGUUUAGUAUUUCUGGACAUAAUUUUAAACCGAGAGUACUCUUUCAUUUAUAUAUAAACUCUUAUAUCUCUUACAUGUACUGUCAGAUGUGUGUUGUUAUUUUAUUCAGUUUAUUCUCCUGACUGAUAUAUGACUUGAUUUUAUAAAAUCAAUUGCCAAAAUCAUUAAGAGCAUGUCUUCGGUGUUUCAUGUUUUAAAAAUGUGUAUCAACUUUUUAAGACAUUCAAAUUGUUCUUUAGAAAAGGAUGUCCAGUGCUCUCUGUAUUUCUUAAAGAAAAAUUAAAUUAGAUCUUUUGAAUUAA